GUUGAAAUUAUUGUAUUUUAUGUAGGAAUAUUCUCCCUGAAUAUUCCUACAUAAAAUACGUGUGUAUAAUGACUCUUGCUCGUAAAAUCAACAGUCUUAUUUUACACUGAAAUGUCAGAAUUUGGGUAAAUCACAAUUAGUGGCGUUGUCCGUACCAUUUACUAGCCUAUAGAUAUAUUGGGAGAAUCCUUACAGUUUUGGAGAUAUAAAUAUAGAGUAACUGUCCUGUUUUUUAAGUCUUCCUUGUAGUAUUGUAUAAUUUUGACCAUACUGUACAUGACAUGUAUUGCCAAAAUUAUAUGAUAAUUUGAUUACAUGUGCUAAUCAUACUUCAGCAUUAUUUAAAUUGUG
RNAcentral lists this long non-coding RNA (351 nucleotides) under Mytilus galloprovincialis (Mediterranean mussel). Lineage: Eukaryota; Metazoa; Mollusca; Bivalvia; Mytilida; Mytilidae. The record is from RNAcentral.